This is a long non-coding RNA of Manis javanica (Malayan pangolin), 2419 nucleotides long. RefSeq lists it as uncharacterized. NCBI's taxonomy places the organism in Eukaryota, Metazoa, Chordata, Mammalia, Pholidota, Manidae. The record is from RefSeq and is a predicted model, not a curated record.
GCGAGCAGGUCUGCGGGCCUGGACCUGGGCGCCGGGCCGCGGCUGGCAGGGGUGAGCGGAGAGCAGGCGGCGCAGGAGGAAAGCACCGGCCCUCUAGGUGUCCCCCACCCCCGGUCAACUGGAGAAGGCUGAGUGUUCAGGGUCUGAGGCAACAGCAGGCGGCGAAGGAAGUGGCUGGAGAGGACCCGGGGAGCCGACCACACGGAGGCCGGACGAGGGGGCCGCGAAGCCGCUGGGCGGGGUUGGCAGCCGAGCUCUGGGCCCUACGCCACUCCGCAGCCCAUAAAGCGCGCAGGGUCACUCUGCAGCGCCGGCUUGGCGGCUUUAACCAUUUUUGCUCCAGGACCAGGGUUUUUGAGCAGCGUAGGGGAAAGGGGGAGGGGGACGGGACUCCCCCCUUUUUCAGGCCGCUGCCUCUCCUCGCCCCAGCCCCUGCGCUGCCCAUGAAGCCUGUUCUGACCAGCCAGCCGCUUGGUUAGCCCCCAGCCCGGAAUUCUCGUCGUUUGUGUCCAGCCUACACCAUCUUUCAUCUCUUGAUUCCUGGAUUUCUGACCAUUAGACCUGCCAGGUCAGGAGGAGCCUGCUAUGGUAAAUCAUGUAUCAGAAAUCUCAGCAUCACCAGAGACUAAAAUGGAUGUCCAUAUGUCACAGAGAAUGAAAUCUCUUCCCAAUCCCUGUCUUCUGAGCUGACUUGAAGCCUCACAGCCGUUCUGCUGAGACAGAAGGAGGGACUGCAUGACCUGAGGAAGGUUCCUCACCCCACUCACCCCCACCAGCAGGUAGCUGCCACUAUUCAGGUCUCAGCAAAAGAGUGACAUCCUUGGGAAAAUAUUCUCCAACACCCUCCACCCCUGGCCUUAAUAGUAAUUAUCUCAGUUUGUAGCUAUAUCCUUAUCUAUAUCAUCUGGAUAAUGAAUGUCUAACUCAAGUGUCUAUAAGAUCCAUGAAUAUUUAUGUCCCAAAUUGUAUUUCAUGAAAGUAGUGGUGGGAGAGGUAUGACUGUGGCAAAUAAAUUUGGAAAAUGCUGUAGGACUUCUGGGAGCCUUUAAAAGGCUAAUGUGUGUAUAAUCACCAGCAUUUUACAAACCAUAUUAACUAUGGGACCUUUCUUUAUAACACUUGUUAACAUUUGGAGGAACUAGUAUCCUGUGGAUUGUAGUUUGAGAAAGUCCAGUAUAAAAUGAAGUAUAAUUUCUGCCUUUCAUAGCAGAGUGGUGAUUGUCACUAGCACACAGAUUGUGAAUGACCAUGGGAGCUGCCAUGGAAAACCGUCACAAAACUUCAGAGUGAAAUAAUCAUAUAGAAAAAGAUAGUUGGGGCAAAGGAGAGUUUGAGGAAAAUACCCAAAACAAGGGAGGGGGUGAUGAGAAAGAAAGCUGGCUCAUAUAGGGCUCAGAAUGACUGAGUUCCAAUUAAAGUAGAAUCCACCCCAACUGGCUGAGUCCAGAGAGAACUGGUCAGGUUCUCCUCAGUGCUUGGCGCUGCUCAGUGAGAACAAACAUGACACCCACUGCUGGUCCAAACCACAGGGAAGGAGUGGGACCUUGGCUUUUCUUGUGGGCUUUUGCAUAUAACCCAUCGGCUUGGUCAUGAUAAUGUGAAGUUCAUAACUGGUGAAUUUCAAGUUCCAUGGGAUUACACUUUUUCAGGAACAUGUCAGUAUAAAAAAAUUAUAGUUGAUCAUUUUAAUUAAUAUAAAAUAUAUUAUUUUUUAGCUUUUGAUAAAAUCAUUUAAAUAAUUUUUAAGUGAAAACACAUCAGUACUACUGUGAGCUAUUGCUAUAUGUGUGAGGUGGAGAUAGAUGUUUGUUAAUAUUCCAAAGGGCCGCCUCAGAUCCCUUAUGGAAAUAGAGUUUGUUGACUUAGUAAAUGAAUGCAGAAACAAUUAUUCCAAGUUUUGUGUCUGGCAUACUGUCUACAGAUUAUCUUUUGGAGUUAGUCCAGUGAGUAGGAAUUUUCUUUUUGGGUUUGAUUUCACAAGGCAUGCAAUCACAUGUGAACAAUGGGAACUCAGAGUGGAAAACCUUGUUUUAAAAAUCAACUAACGUUAAGUUCCCCACUUCGGCCAGUCAACUGAGAUAACAGUUUUUAUGGUAAAGACUUAAAACAACAUCAAGCAUAAUGCCCUUGUUUAUGUAGCAAAAAGAAGUUAGUUGUUUGCGGAUCUGAAGACUUUCAGACUUUUGCAUUAUUGCUGAAAGCAAACUCAAUUCUGGAUGAUAUGUCAACACAGGUCUAUGGGGAAAGGCAAAAAAAGGAGGAGAACUUUGGAAAAUGCUACACAGUGGGUUUUUGGCUUUCCUGGAAGUAUCUUCUAUGUCAACCCUGGAAUUUAUCUUCAGUUCAAAAGAUUACUGUUAAAAGAGGCUUAAUUCUAAACAAUGGCUUCCUUUUUAAAAGGUUCUUGGCUUUUAACACU